CUCCUUCUACCAUGUGGAUCCUGGAGAUCAAACCUAGAUAGUAUGCACAGCACCUUGAAGCACUAUGAAAGCUAACCAGUUGGGAUGAAAACUUCCAGUCACAGGCUUUCAUAACGGGUGAAGAAAAGGACUGAACAGGAGUGAGAGAGCA
Long non-coding RNA from Mastomys coucha (southern multimammate mouse), 151 nucleotides. RefSeq lists it as uncharacterized. The record is from RefSeq and is a predicted model, not a curated record. NCBI's taxonomy places the organism in Eukaryota, Metazoa, Chordata, Mammalia, Rodentia, Muridae. The transcript is spliced from 3 exons.